Molecule: ribosomal RNA, 253 nt
Filed under: uncultured bacterium
Lineage: Bacteria
Description: partial 16S ribosomal RNA
Rfam family: Bacterial small subunit ribosomal RNA
Source: RNAcentral
UACAGAGGUCUCAAGCGUUGUUCGGAUUCAUUGGGCGUAAAGGGUGUGUAGGUGGCGCGCUAAGUCGGGUGUGAAAUUUCGGAGCUUAACUCCGAAACUGCAUUCGAUACUGGCGUGCUUGAGGACUGGAGAGGAGACUGGAAUUCAUGGUGUAGCAGUGAAAUGCGUAGAGAUCAUGAGGAAGACCAGUGGCGAAGGCGGGUCUCUGGACCAAUAUUGACGCUGAGGAGCGAAAGCUAGGGGAGCAAACGGG